UGGUGACUGGCGAGCGGCGGCUGAAGGCCCGCUUGGCGGCGCUGCUUCCCGACCUUCUGGUCUUUCGGAAACCGCGGGGAUCGGAACCUGAGGUUGCCACGGCCCAGGGCGUCCUCCUAGGCGUCCAUGUGACGGAUAUGCUCUGUUUUGGAGGGGAUAUCCUAAAUAUCACAGGGAACGUGCUUCUGGCACUCUGGAGAGUAGAACAAAACCAACUGAGUGACAUCAUUACCUUGGUGGCAAAAUGCAGUCUGGAGAUACAGGAGAAAUUUGGGAUCUGUCAUACCAGAGAAGGCCAGGACCUGCAGUUAAAGUGAAGGUCUGUCUGCAGGUCGGAUUUCCCAGGUUAUUGUUGGAGAUGAGCAGCAGCAAUACCUCUUGGUGAUUGGGCGGGAUGUAGACGAUGUCCAGUUAGCUCAGCGUUUGGCUCAGGCAAAUGAGAUUGUUUUGUCCUGGAACUGCUGGAUGCUCUGCAAGCAGUAUAUGUUUGAAGUGGAAGUCAUGAGGAGGAUGAACCUAACCCAGAUGAAGACUUGUUUCCAUCAGUGUCACCAAUGGACCAGUGUUCUGUGGUGUGGUUGGAGCAGUAGCAAGACAUGAAUAUACAUGUAGAAUAGGACAUUGGACUGCUAGCUUUGUGACUUAAGGGAGGAAAGAAGAAGACGUAGUCCAAAAAUUCUACAGCUGUCUUUCUGACAGUUAUUGGCCCAAAAGUGAGUCUUGCAGCCAGAAUGAUAACUGCUUAUCCAGGUUUGGUGUCCUGUGAUGAGGUAAUGUAUCUAAGAUUCAUGCUACUUGCUUACAAGUUCAAGAAACUCCCAGAGAAAAUGAUGAAAAACAUCUCUGACCCAGGGAACAUAUAUGAAUAUCUUGGCCACAGAAGAUGCAUAAUGUUUGGAAAAAGACAUUUGGCAAGAAAGAGAAACAUAAAUCACCCUUUGUUAGGUAUGUUUUCUUUUGUAACUUAAAUCAUAUUUGUUUCAGCUGUAGAUGGCUAAAUGUGAUUUAAAAAACAAAACAAUGCAAGACUAAAUGCUUUUAAGUUUAUUAAAAAAUAGCAACCUUCUUAGUGAAAUUUUGAAGAGAACGUACUAUUUCUUUUUCAUGUCAAAUAUCCAAAUUUCAGGUGAAGUCCUAUAAGUGCCUGAGAAACACCAACAUUUAAUAAUAAUCUUUGUUAAGUCAGAGUUCAGCUAUUGAGAUCAGACCAGCUUAUUGUGGAUCAUCUUUAGAGAAAAAUUCCUCAUCCUUAGCUUCUGGGUUGGGGCACUUUCAGGCUGCUUGGUGCCAGUGGCCUGCCUGAGAAAAAUUCCUCAUCCUUAGAAUAGUGAAAAUAGCACCAAGACUGUGAUCACCCACACUAUGUAUUCCCUAUCUUUAUGUUUAUUUUAGUCUAUGCUUAUUAGUCCAUUAUUUGCACAUAGUAGUAACAGAUCUUGAAGACUAAAUUGAUUUUAAGAAAAUUUUUACAAAAAACAUAAAAGGUACUCAUGUCCAAAAGAUGCCUAAUUUUUCUGAAUGUUGCUACGUAGGCUCUGGAAUAAGCCCUCAAGACCAACAUAUGUUAGCUCAGAAUUGAUUUUCUGGAAAGAGAUAUGAAGCCCCAUCAAUAAAUGAGAUUUUUACAAUUCUGGAGGAAAAAGGCCAUUCUGAGAGUUAGCUUUGCAAACUGAUUCAAUUCAAUAGAAUAUCUACUAAGAAGCACAGGAGUGUUAGGUGAUCCCUGUCUCUCUACAAACCGGGAGAAAGAACUGGAAGUGUUCCAAGUGGCACAGCAAAAGUGUUUGCAUCAGAAGAAGGGACAAGCAGUUCUGUAUGAAGGUGGAAAAGGCUAUGGAAAAAGCCAGCUGUUGGCUGAAAUAAACUUCCUGGCCCAAAAGGAAGGGCGUAGGUAAAGACUCCUGCAUUCUGACUUAGUCAGAGCCUAUUUCUCUUGGGGCUUCUUUCCCUUGUUACUGAGACUCUUGUGUCAUUAGAUUCAGCAUUCUUGGACUGGUGAAGCGAGUAACCUAUGUGUGGUAUGUGGGACUCUUGAUGACCAUAGUAAUAUUCACCAGGGUGUUGCCAUUUAUGCUGAAGGAAGCAGAUUCCAAACAGUGCUUCUAUGCCAUCCAGACCCUUAUGGCCAUCUUCUUUGAAACUGAUACAUGCCCAGCCUAUUACCGGCAAGAGUACCUACAAAGACAGCUUCAUGGGUUAAUGGAAGAACAACUUCACUGCCUUUUUAAUGACCUCUUAUUUGUGAAGAUAAUGAAGACAUUGGCUUUCUGAAUUAGAUUACUAUUACAUUUUGUGGAUAUUCAGAUUUAGGAUUGUCUUCUAUCUAAUAAUCUGAGGAUACACAUAUGCGUAUAUGGUGGGACCAAGAUUUGAAAUUCCUUCAACACCAAAACUCAGGCUUUCUCCUUUCUAGUUGAAUGUCCUGGAGCAAAUCACUUAGCCUCUCUGAGUCACAGUUUUUUCAUCUGUGAAAUAACAAUUAUAGUACUGUAUAUGUUUUAAUGUGAAUUUUAAAGUAGAUGGUAAACAAGAGAUAAUGCAAUGAAAAUGUAUAUUUUCAAGUGCUAAAUGCAUUUAAGGUGGCCAUCACCAGUGGCAUAUCCCCAGGAAUUAUAUCCAUGUGUUCUUGAGUUGGUUACAAUUUCUUUUAUCUUUUAACCAUAACUUCCUGUUCCCUUACUGCAGAAUAUAUCUUUUUGAAACCAGCAUCUGUAUCUCAAAAGCCUUCAGAGGUCUAGGGUGUGUGGGAUAUCCAGUAGUAAGCAAACUAAAAAUUCACUGGUGCACAAUUUGCUUUAUUUAUCCUCUAUCACUUCUAAUCUACCCACCCUGCAGAGUAUUAUGGAAUAGAAAAUAGAGACACUAAGAUCUGUCUAAUCCUUCAACAUAUCCCUCUCUUAAGGUAGGCCUUGCUUGGGACUCUAAACUCUUGCCUACAUAGAUUAGCAGUCAUCUCACUUUGGCUCUCAGGUCCCUCAUAGUUCGCAUGCCCCAACCUAGCACAGGAAACAAUGUUAGGUGAUGUCUAUUGCAUCUUGUUCUGACAAGUCUCAUGUAUAGGUUGGUCCUGGUAUACUUGGAAUAAUUAGGAUACUGGAGCUGCCCAAAAUGUCAUUGCUAAGUUCAAUCUGUCAUUUACUCCUUAGUCAUAACCCUCUAAGGGUUUUUCUAGAGUCUGGUAUGGAAAAGAGAUAGAUACCUGUCUCUAACCCUUCACGAACUCUCUCACCCUUCGAACUAUAUAUUAAUGUUAGAUAGGCCCUUGUAACUCUGUGCUCAAUCUUGCAGAAACCCAUUCUCAGUCCAAAUAGAAUUGUUUGGUGUUCCCUUUGGAGAACCUGCAUGUUUUUAUUAGAUUUUCAUGUUAAAUGCUAACAUGUAAUAAUUUUCCUGGUCAGUUUCCUUUGUCCUUCAAAGUUUCACACGUGGAUGACGAGGCCAGACAAAAGAAGGUUAAAGCAUAUUUUAUUAAAGUACUUCAGGAGGAUUAUGGAAUCAAAAAUCUGUAUGAGCAGAAACUGAUGUAACAACCAUUCUGGAAAGCAAUCUAAAAGUAGCCAAAUUUUAAUAACAUGUAUCUCUAGACCCAGCAAUUCAACUCCUGUAUAUAUAUCCCAACAAGUACAUUUUUAACAGUGUUUGUGGAGGUCAGGUAGUGAGAGAAACACUACUGAUUUUCCUCAUUGAUGAGGCCCAGGAUAUGGAUGCAGCUUCCUGGGAAUUUUUGAAAACAUUGCUCUCCAGUAUGCCCAUCAUCAUGGUGAUGACGUUGACCCCUAUCUUCACCCUGUGUGGCUGAGCCCAGCAUUUCCUGCAGAGCCCUCAGGCUAUCCUUAUGCCUAUUUCGAAAUUGGCAACAACCUCACUGUUGAGAAUGGCAUGUUGGGAACUAGGGGUGGUGAGCAUCCCCCAAGAGCUGCAGGUGUGAGUGGCUAGGACUAGCUGAGCACUUCAUUAAGGGAGAAGCCAGUGCCAUAGUUUAAGUGAGAAGCUGCAGGUCUUACUGGAAUUGGGGGAGAGAAUGGUAUUAGUAACCAUGAUGAGGCCCUGAGACUAGAUAUAAGGGAAACAGUCUUCUUGUAAUCAAGUAAGGGGCUGCCUCCCUGGGCUCUCCACCUAGGUUUUCACAAGACAAUUAGGACUUGGGUGGCUUGCUUCAUGUGUCAGUUAUAUGUGAUCAGGCCACUUUCCGCCAGACCCUUUAGCAAGGGGAUGUUUGUUUCUUUCAACAUCAAUAAAAGCAAAAUAGUUGAGAAAGAAAAGUUAUUGCCAAGAUGCAUUUCAAGGCCAAUCAGAAAUUACUUUUUUACAUUUCUGUGCUUCUGCCUCCCUCUGUUAGUGUUUGCCAUGAAGAGCUGACUUUAACAAAAGAAGAUUCCUCAGUAUGAAGUACUGUUAUGCUUGGCUCCCCUAAAAUGGUCAUCUGUAAUGUGAAAUCCCUUAUCUCCCUGCAGCUACCUUCACAGGUGCUUUGGAAACCCCCUUUAUUGUGAGGUCCUAUGCCAAGACCUUCUCUGUAAGGACAUAUUGCUCUUUCAUGACCUACAAAAGGAGGAAGAGGAAAACAGCAAGUGGAAAAAUCUCUCAGCCAUUGCCAUGAAAUCCACAAUGUAUAGUAUUUCUCCUGCCAACUCUGACGAAGGUCAGGAACUUUAUGUCUGCACAGUCAAGGAUGAUGUGAACUUGGAUAUGGUGCUUCUCUCACCCUUUUUGAAAGGUAAGUCCCUUGAAGACCUCAAGUGAACCAAUUACAGAUAUCAUUGCAAUUUGUAAUUUGGUGGGUGGUUGAGUAUAGGUCUCUAAUUAUCAUUCUGGCUUCAUUUCUUCUGAAAAAGAAAUCUACCUUCUAGAAAUAAGUUCUGGCAUUGACUGAAGAGCUCUUUGAAGACUUGUAAUGCUACUUGAGUAAGGUUUUACUUAAGUGAGCUCAUUGUUCUCUUUGGGACUGACUGAUGACCUGGAAAAGUUUUCCAAUUAUUUAAUUAAAAAUAGGUCCUUAGUUUCCCUUUGUGCAUAUUCUUUUUCCAGAGUAGACAGUAAGCAAAGGAGAUAAUGUUGCUGAGAUUUAAGAAAAUCCAUGGUGUUAGUGAGGAUACAAUGUUAUGCACAUAGCAAGAGUUUAAUAAAAAAAGAGUGCAAAGUAGAAUGACUGUUGCCAUAAAGAAUAAAGAAGCUAUCAGAAUCAGGUAGGCAUAGUUGGAGAGGGGAUGUUCUUCUUAGAAAUGAAUUGUUUCUUAUUUUAAUAUUUUAUUCAAGUGUCUGGUGGGUAAGGUACUAAUACUUGAGGAAUAUUGUGAUGAACAAGCAUACCUUCAAGUUAGUUAUAGCCAUUGCCAUGAAAUCCACAAUGUAUAGUAUUUCUCCUGCCAACCGUGAAGAAGGUCAGGAACUUUAUGUCUGCACAGUCAAGGAUGAUGUGAACUUGGACACGGUGCUUCUCCCACCCUUUUUGAAAGGUAAGUCCCUUGAAGACCUCAAGUGAACCAAUUACAGAUAUCAUAAUUAGACACACACAUGAAACAGCAGUAUAGGACACCAUGGUAGUUAAGGGCCAGGGCUCUAAAGUCAGAAAACCUGGGACACCAUGGGCUCCUGCACUUACCGGCUAUGGAACUUUCAAUAAGUUAGUCAACUUCUCACUCAUCAGUCAAAUGAAGAUAAUAAUAGUUCCUACCUCAUGGGGCGAGUUGAGGAUUAAAUGAAAUAAUUUAGGACAUAAUAAAUAUUCCAUGACUGUUAGCUAUUACAUUACAAGCUCUUUACUCUGGAGGUUUUAGGUUCAACAGAGACAGUUUACAAUGAUACAACUAUGAUAGACCAUACUUGGCAAUGGCUUUCCUUAGAAGGAAAUACAGCAUGCUAACAGGACAGCGGCAUGUGCUUUUCUUCAAUGAAAGUUUUCACAGCAGCUUGCAUAGCCUUCCAGGGGCUAAUCUCUGGAGCCUCAAGUAAUAGCUCAGCUAUGGUGAAUGAAACCAUGACUCAUGGGUGCUUAGAAGACCAACUAAAGGCUUUGUUUCUUAUAAUGGUCCAAACAGGCAUCGCUUUCAGGAUCUCCAAGGGGCAUGGCCGAUUACAAGAAUUACUAUACCCAAGGAAACCCAAAUCUGUGGCUUACCACAAGUUAAUUCAGUUUUCCCAGUCCAAAUUCAGUUUCCCAAUUAGAGGUUAUUCUUAGCAUAAGCAAUGUUACCUGGCAACACAGCUGAUAUUCUAAGUGUUCCUAGGAAACAGGAAAAUUAACCCAAGGUAAACAUUUUCAGGUAAGGAAAAAGGGCUUGUUAAUUCACAAACUAAAAUGAAUAGCUCAAACACCCUUGGUCAAGAUAAAAGGCCAAACUAUAUUGUGAAAGCCCAUAUAUAAGUUGUAAAAGUGCCUAAGAAGGGGACUAGCAUGAUUAUAUAUAGAUAUAUAAUUCUGCUACCAGUUAAUAUAUUAUUGGAAUAAGAAUGGGAGGAAAUUAGAUAUGUACAAAACAGGGUAUUAUAAUGAUCCAGUUGAAAAAGAGUAUUUGUAAUAACAUUGUUUAGGAGAAAACAUACUCAAAAGAAAGAUGAGGAGACUGAGAGAGAAGAUGGCACUGUAGGACCAACUCAGGAUUGCAGCUCCUAGUGAAACCACAGAUGAAACAGCAGUAAGCCAACUCGAUCAACUGAGCCCAGAGGAACAGUUGCUGGUCAAAUGUGCUGCAAUCGUUGCUCACACCUUCCAUACAGAUCUGUUGCAGCACCUCCUGCCUGGCUGGGAUAAAAAUAAGCUACUUCAGGUGUUGAGAGCUCUUGUGGAUAUACAUGUGCUCUGCUGGUCUGAGAAGAGUCAAGAGCCUCCUAAUGAGCCCAUAUUAGUGCCUUUCUCUAUCCACACCACUGAUCAAACCAAAGAAAAUAAGACAAAGUUAGGUGCAAAGAAUGACAUAAAAGGAUAAACCAUCCCCUAUUUUAGAAACUCCCAAGGAAGACAAACAUAUGUGGUAUUGAAACAGACAUGAACAAAGCAAGAUAUAAAUAGCUUACAAUCUUGAAUUUUCCACCUGAAAAUAAAAUUGUAGCAUGGACUACCCAAAGCACAUACAAUUUUCCUUUGACUUUGAAAUAUGUUUGAACCCUAUAUUUGAACAGAGCAUUCCCUAUGAUUUAACAUUUAUAAUAAUUUGAAGUAAAAUCUCAAUUUAGAGAAACUAUUAUGAAAUCAAUGGUAUAUUUUUGUACUAUUGAUCAUUUCUUCUCUGUUAUACUUUAUACUAGAUAUGGUCAAUAUCGAUCUCAGAAUAAUGCAAAAAUUUUUAUACAAAGGAGGCGGUAAUAUCAUCCUAAAUUUACAAAUAGAAUUUUCUUCUACCCUAGCAGCCAUGUGCUUGGGACUCUGCCAUAUUGAAGCUCGAAAAGUUUAUAAGGGAAAAUCUCACUUAGAUUUUCC
Molecule: non-coding RNA, 7417 nt
Organism: Callithrix jacchus (white-tufted-ear marmoset)
Lineage: Eukaryota; Metazoa; Chordata; Mammalia; Primates; Cebidae
Source: RefSeq, a predicted model, not a curated record